AGAACGAACGCUGGCGGCAUGCCUAACACAUGCAAGUCGAACGAGACCUUCGGGUCUAGUGGCGCACGGGUGCGUAACGCGUGGGAAUCUGCCCUUGGGUUCGGAAUAACAGUUAGAAAUGACUGCUAAUACCGGAUGAUGACGAAAGUCCAAAGAUUUAUCGCCCAGGGAUGAGCCCGCGUAGGAUUAGCUAGUUGGUGAGGUAAAGGCUCACCAAGGCGACGAUCCUUAGCUGGUCUGAGAGGAUGAUCAGCCACACUGGGACUGAGACACGGCCCAGACUCCUACGGGAGGCAGCAGUGGGGAAUAUUGGACAAUGGGCGAAAGCCUGAUCCAGCAAUGCCGCGUGAGUGAUGAAGGCCUUAGGGUGUAAAGCUCUUUUUACCCGGGAUGAUAAGUGACAGUACCGGGAGAAUAAGCUCCGGCUAACUCCGCGCCAGCAGCCGC
This 447-nucleotide ribosomal RNA is filed under the name uncultured soil bacterium. Its description in RNAcentral is "bacterial SSU rRNA". It matches the Rfam family "Bacterial small subunit ribosomal RNA", at positions 26 to 518 of the family's 1533-position model. The record is from RNAcentral.